UCGUUAUCAUAUAACAAAAUUAGGACACCCAACAUAGCACAGGAUCAUUAAAUCUGGUUUUCCCUGGCAACCGGGAGCUUUUCAAUUCAUUCGCAUUCCUUAGAAAGCAGCGAAAAAACAAUGCUACAGUCUACGAAAGACAAGCAUUGUCAGUUACAGUAUAAUUAUAGAUUGGAAAAUACCGUAGAGGCUACAGCAAAGGAAUUGUUUUAUUUUGAAAAAGGUGAGCCCAAAAUUUCUUACUUUUCAUCAUUUCUUUGCCAUGACAAAUUAAACAGAGUUUUAGAUAGAGUUUUCAAUAGAAAAUAGGCUAGCCAGUUUCUAGUUAAUUUUAAAGUAUAAUAGAAAGAUCAGCUACCUUGGUUUAUCUGGAAUUUAAAUUAGAAGUUUUCAUUUAACCUAAUAACUCUCCUUUUCAUAAAAAAGACCAGUGUAAUGUUGUUGGAGACCUUUUAGGUUGAUAAUCUGAAUAUGCCGAGAAUUCUUUCAAAAUGUUUGUUAAAUGAUCCCGAAUUUCCCAACCUUUUACUUAGGGGUAUUUUUGCAACGUUUCCAAGAAAUUAGUUUAAAGGAAUUUCCCAAUUUCGUUUAUCGUUGCCCUUUCCUGAAAUGCACCAAUCGCUGGUUGCUCCCACUGGUUGCUCCACGUAGCCAUUUUGAAAUUGGCAACUCUCGUCUUUUGAUCAUAUGAUCCACUUGAGAACGAGACUAGACCUAAUCAUGUCAAGACAUGCCCCGAGGAUAUGUGCCGUGAUUGGUCGCUUUUUUCGUAAAGCACGCUUUCUGCAGUUGUGGUUUCAGUCCUGGUACUUGUUGUUUUUCAUUAGUAAACCGGGGCCUGGGAAUACCCCUAUAACAGAUGAAUACGAGACUUGUUAGAACACGUUCCGUUGAACCAUUGUUUAAAGCCGCGUUUUCCUUUAUGACAACAGAAAGCUUCGCAAUCGCUUGCAGGAAUCACCGGUUUAAAGACCUUCAAAAAUAAUCUUCGCCCGAGAGCGAGAAGAGAUCACGAAACCUGCUUCAAAGGCUGGGUCAGAUUUCAGCGUCAAUUAUUCCAAGCGUUGACUGUUCUGUAGCUGACUCGAAGCAACAAAAAUGUACACAAACUUUGUAGAGGCAGUCGACUACCUGAUGAGUAUCAAGUCUAAGAAGCCAAUUGCAGGGACUGUCCAUUACAUGUACCACGGAAGUGCCAAAAAAGCAACGAAACUCCUGUGUAUUACUCCAGAGAAUAUGAAGAAAGUUGGCACAGGUCAGAAAAAGGUCACGAUGAGCACUUCCAACCACAUCGAACCAGCCCCAGACCUGCGAUCAGAGAGGAGGGUGGUGGGACGUCAACUGGCCCACAUUGGUGACAGUUUGCUAGAGAGCCCGGAUGCACUGACCAGUAAGCAAAAACGUGGUAUAAUUUUGUCAUUGGCAGUUGUGAGCUUGGCUGGAGUUGCACUCAUCUGUUUUGCUAAAGAUGAUAAGAUGACGUAAUUUGGAAACUAGAGAGGAGCAAGAGACUAGUUCGAAGAAGUUUAUUGUCAAUACGUUUAGUUAAAAGCAGCUUUAAAGAUUAUAGUGCUUAUUAUAUUUGAAUUUGAGUAGUGCAAAGGGCUUCUGGAAUAACAACCUAGUAGCCUAGGGGCCAAUUUGGUCCAGCUUUCCUUCCUGAAACUAUCGCAGAAGAAUGUUCAAGAAUUUUAACCAAGCCUCGUUUCCACGGUUGGUCGUCUCUCGGUCGGUCAGAUUUAGCGAAUCGUGAGCUAGAUAGCGUACAAUCUCCCCCUUUAUUAAUCUUCCCCACCAUCAGAAAUUUUACUUUUCAUCAGGUUAUCGCAGCAAAAAGUUCAAAAAGUUCAAAAAAUGUCAAACGUUAGUUGAUUUUUGUGUUGAAAUGAAGAUUGUUGGGAAAGCGAACUGAAACGCCAGCAUUCGUUAUUCAAACUUUUACCCACAAUAGAGAGGCUAUACUAAAACACAAAAGGGCAACUUAAACAUACUGAAUCGAUCAAAUGUGUAGUUGUACGCUCUUUAGAGUUCACAACUUUGUUGAAUCACUAAAACUAAAUUAUUGCAAGCCUUUUUUCCAUUGAAUCCUCUGCAAGUCAGAGAAUUUCGUUGCAAUCAGCACACCCUAGUGCUACACACUCUAUGGAGUGCACAAUCAAAACUAUUGUUAAGUGUGGAUAUUUGAAUAGAUAUUUUGUACAGCGUUACAGUUUAGAGUAACAAAUCUUAGUUUAUUGGCAUAUUUGGUUUAAGCAAAUUUGUGGUUUGGAAAAUUUUUGUAAGUUUAGCUUUUGGUCUCUAAGAUCAUUUCAAAACAAGAUGUAUAUACUGUGUAAAUAUUGCUUGUAAUCGUGAAAGGAGAAGGAUAUCAUAUUGCCAAACGGUGUAAGAAAACUACUUAUUCCUAUUGAAUCCAAGAGUGAUCACGCGUCAAAGAAGAUUUAAAAAUGACCUAUGGUGGCAUUACAAAAGUCACAUGACAUCUAUCCAAUUUGUUUUUGAGAAUGAUAUUUCUAACUAAGAAAGUUACAAUUUCAACGUUCCAAUAUUAUUUGAACGUGAUUGCUCUUGGAUAUUUUCAAGAGAUAAAAACUUGCUUAUGCGAUUGUUUAAAUUCUGUUUUAUUUAUUUAUCAACUGCUUUGUUGUGUUUUAAAUAUUGCCCUGUUGUCAUUGGAAAUAAUCCUAUUAUUGGAAAACGUAAAAUAAGUUGAAUUUCAUAACAAACUGAAACAUUGCACAAAUCUUACAAAUGUAUAAAUUUAUUCUUGGAAAAUCCCGAAACUUCGAUAACAACAGGGCAAUAACUGUUCAAAGAACUAUAUUUACGGUGCAUUAACUUCUUAUUUUCAAGAUAAAAACGAUAAUGCAAUAUGACUUUUAUGUUUGAUAUCUUCUACGCAUUUUGAAAUAGUUUUACUUUCAUUGUUAGAAUAUGCCCUUUGGCAGUGGAAAUAUAUUCAGAGAAACAUUGAAGCAGUAUUAGAGGAACUUAAAACCGAGAAUUUAUUUCUUACUUUAAGAGAGACUAAAGGCUUUAGAAGUAGAAAAUAGUAUGUCGUUAUCGUCCACCCCGUUUCUUGCAGUCACUAGGCCAUCCAAAAACUUAGGCAGGUCUUUAGUAAUAGACAGGGUAGCUAACCUUCUACAAAAAAAUAGACCGGGUAGCUUACCUUCUAUGUUUUGGAAGUCCCCUUUAAAUCCCUUAUACCCAAAAUGUAUAUUCGAUAAUCUGAAGCAGUGAUUCAAACACGUCCUCCUAUGAGCCUGAGCAAACUCUUUUUCCAACAGAUCAAAUUUGCCUGAAAAUGAGUAACAUUUCAGAAUCAUCUUGUGGUCAAAAUAUAUUCCCAAGGGGUGCCUAGUUCUUGCUUUUCUCGUCCUUUGUGUUACUGGACAUCUUGAAUCUGUUCAUUUAUUGUAAGUCAUAAAGUCAGGAAAUGGAGACCGACUUACUCGAGGACUCGAGGGGCCCCUACUUGUUUCGAGGACUCGAGGGGCCCCUACGAAAGUUCUUUCUUUCCUACGAGUAUGCCUUCAAAGACCAAUGGAUGCAGUCCCCAGUUGCCCCCAUACCACACCUCCCCCUUCAAAUUUCUAGGAACGCUUCAGAUAAAAAACCAACAUGGCUGCUAACAACCUACCCAACCUUAGUGAGCUAUUAGAGUACUUUACAAUGCCAAGUUUAGAUGCAUUAGAGAUUCCAUGAAAAUAAAAACUACGGUAGUUUUGGAUUCAAAAUGUAUAUUUCUUGUUGUUAUUGUUGUGUUUGAAAUAAA
Molecule: non-coding RNA, 3778 nt
Organism: Rhopilema esculentum
Lineage: Eukaryota; Metazoa; Cnidaria; Scyphozoa; Rhizostomeae; Rhizostomatidae
Source: RefSeq, a predicted model, not a curated record